CCAAAUUUGACAGCCAUUUAACACUCAAAUUCACCAAAAUUACCAAAAACACACAAGAACGUGAGUUGACAAAACUGAAAAGUUACAUGUGAAUGGUACAAAUGUCAAUAAAUAUAGAGUUUCCUCGUUAACUGACCUUUUGAUCCAGAUACAUGCUCCUGGAGGCCAUUGACAGGGAAAGUAACAACAGGUAUAUCUAGACUGCUCCCUUCUGUAUCAGGGGAAACCUCUCUUACAUCAGCUAUCGUUGCCUCUGUUGUCUGAAUAUCACCCAAAUUUGACAGCCAUUUAACACUCAAAUUCACCAAAAUUACCAAAAACACACAAGAACGUGAGUUGACAAAACUGAAAAGUUACAUGUGAAUGGUACAAAUGUCAAUAAAUAUCUCCUCGUUAACUGACCUUUUGAUCCAGAUCCAUGCUCCUGGAGGCCAUUGACAGGGAAAGUAACAACAGGUAUAUCUAGACUGCUCCCUUCUGUAUCAGGGGAAACCUCUCUUACAUCAGCUAUCGUUGCCUCUGUUGUCUGAAUAUCACCCAAAUUUGACAGCCAUUUAACACUCAAAUUCACCAAAAUUACCAAAAACACACAAGAACGUGAGUUGACAAAACUGAAAAGUUACAUGUGAAUGGUAUAAAUGUCAAUAAAUAUAGAGUUUCCUCGUUAACUG
Molecule: long non-coding RNA, 671 nt
Filed under: Olea europaea (common olive)
Lineage: Eukaryota; Viridiplantae; Streptophyta; Magnoliopsida; Lamiales; Oleaceae
Description: long non-coding RNA (OEUR_LNC013225)
Source: RNAcentral